UAUAUAUUACUUCUCAUAAAAUGCCACUUUUGUGCUUUUUUCUUUUUUAGGGGAAAAUAAUAUAUUUUGUUAUCUAAUCAAACUUUUCUUCUGAACAAAAGGUCUUUUUUAGCCCUUAAACUAAUAUCAAAUAGUUAAAUAAACCGUAAAACUUCAAAGGUCAAAUAAGUCCCUUAUGUCUUAAUUUCAGGCCAAUUACAAAUCUAAUUUAACAAUGAUAAAAAAAAUUAAUAAAAUAAGUAAACUAAGAAUAAAAUAUUAUUUUAUAUUUUAAUAAUUAAAAAUAUUUAUCAAAAUAAAAAAUUUUCCAUUGUUUAUAAAAUGUAAAAAUAAAGCAAAAUCAACGACAUUUUCGAGGUAAGUAAGAGCCAUUGAUUGAAUGCUUUGUGUAUUGAGUUGGGUGCUUGAAGAGUUGAUGAUUUGGGCAGUGGUUUGGUCUGAAGUGGAAAAGGAGGAGGAAGAGGAGGAAGACAUUGGUUUUGGUGGACCAACAAUCUCGUUAACAUUUAAAAUGAAUUUGGCAGCUGUGGUGGAGGGAUCCAGCACUAUUAGGCUUUUUUCUAGAGACUAGACAUUGAAUCGGAAUUUAGAAAGCAAACCUGUCAUUGAUUUCUAACUCCCAGUUUUUCUGCUUUUGACUGCCUUAUGUAUAGACCAUGACGAUGACAUGAGGAAUGAGAGUAAAUUCAAUGUGAAAAAAUAAAUGAGGAUCAUUGUAAGCUCUGCGUUAUCUACAGGGGUUCUGUUCCUAGUGCUAACUAUAGUCUCGUAUGUUUGGAAAAAGAAGCAGCAGAAAGCUGGUACAUCACUCCUUGAAAUUCCUUGAAAUUCUAACUCCCAAAUUACAGAAAAUAUUUGGGCUUAGUAAUAUAAGAGAUCAUGAAUCGGUAAAGAUUAUAUUAUACUGGAAAUCAUAAGGAAAUACGAGAAAUGGGAUAACUUGUCUUUUUCUUUAUAUAAAAUUUUAUUCAUUCUGGCUCCACUUUGCAGGAAAAGAAACUGGCGUUGUGGAAGGAAAUGCAAAUGACAAGGGCCAAAAAGAAGAUCUAGAACUACGGCGGUUUGAUUUUGGCACUAUUGCUCGUGCAACUAAUAACUUCUGUCACCAAUAUACUCGGAGGAGGCUUUGGACCUGUUUUUAAGGCAACAGUCUGAAUGAAGAUUUAGCAUUAUUGUGGAUAAAUUGAUAGUUCAGCAAUUGUUCCAACUUCAAAGCCUAAACAGAUAAGCAGAGAAGGAACGUUGAAAGAUGGACAAGAAAGUGCUGUGAAGAGGCUCUCAAAGAAUUCAACCCAAGGACUUGAUGAGUUCAAGAAUGAAGUAAUGCAUGUUGCCGUACUUCACCAACGGAAUCUGGUGAAGCUUCUAGGAUGCUGC
Hevea brasiliensis (rubber tree) is the source of this 1377-nucleotide long non-coding RNA. RefSeq lists it as uncharacterized. Lineage: Eukaryota; Viridiplantae; Streptophyta; Magnoliopsida; Malpighiales; Euphorbiaceae. The record is from RefSeq and is a predicted model, not a curated record. The transcript is spliced from 3 exons.